RNAcentral lists this transfer RNA (73 nucleotides) under Bacteroidota bacterium. RNAcentral's name for it is "tRNA-Lys". It matches the Rfam family "tRNA". Rfam says of the family: Transfer RNA (tRNA) molecules are approximately 80 nucleotides in length. Their secondary structure includes four short double-helical elements and three loops (D, anti-codon, and T loops). Lineage: Bacteria; Pseudomonadati; Bacteroidota. The record is from RNAcentral. RNAcentral also lists the same sequence under 1 other name.
GACUAAUUAGCUCAGCCGGUAGAGCACAUCCCUUUUAAGGAUGGGGUCCUGGGUUCGAAUCCCAGAUUAGUCA